UCAAGCCAAGUUCCCGGAGGAGAUAACCCAGCUCAUUAUGCUAGAGCACGUUUUCAAUGUGCUCCCCAACAACAAGGCGACGACGCAUUCGUAUGUCAAUCCAUAUCAACUUUUGAUGCCAUUUACUGCGCCUACCAUGGUGACCACGGGUAACGGGGAAUCAGGGUUCGAUUCCGUACAGGGACCCUGACAAACGGCUACCACAUGCAAGGAAGGCAGCAGGCGUGCAAAUGACCCACUACCGAUGCAGGGAGGUA
This 257-nucleotide ribosomal RNA is filed under the name Pelobates cultripes (western spadefoot toad). Its description in RNAcentral is "SSU_rRNA_eukarya". It matches the Rfam family "Eukaryotic small subunit ribosomal RNA", at positions 218 to 466 of the family's 1831-position model. The record is from RNAcentral. Lineage: Eukaryota; Metazoa; Chordata; Amphibia; Anura; Pelobatidae.